AGAUGAGUUCUCCCUGAGACUUUAAGUCUCCUGAAGGAACGUUGAAGACGACGACGUUGAUAGGUCGGGUGUGUAAGCGCAGCGAUGCGUUGAGCUAACCGAUACUAAUGAACCGUGAGGCUUAACCUUACAACGCCGAAGC
RNAcentral lists this ribosomal RNA (142 nucleotides) under Enterobacter cloacae. RNAcentral describes it as "partial 23S ribosomal RNA". It matches the Rfam family "Bacterial large subunit ribosomal RNA", at positions 2802 to 2925 of the family's 2925-position model. RNAcentral also lists the same sequence under 1 other name. The record is from RNAcentral. Lineage: Bacteria; Pseudomonadati; Pseudomonadota; Gammaproteobacteria; Enterobacterales; Enterobacteriaceae.